This 803-nucleotide long non-coding RNA is filed under the name Capra hircus (goat). Its description in RNAcentral is "lncRNA (ENSCHIG00000001293.1)". The record is from RNAcentral. Lineage: Eukaryota; Metazoa; Chordata; Mammalia; Artiodactyla; Bovidae.
GUCACUGUCUUGUCAUAGAAGGUUAGACAACAUCAGAGCCAGCUGAUGUAAUAAGGAGAAGGAAGUUCAGAGGUCAGGCUGAGGAAAGACAUCAACUGUGUGUCUGGCCAGUGGCAAGUGCAUGAUCAACGCUGUUGCCUUUCUGGUCCCAGCACUCAAAGCCCUGCUCCUUACUGCAACACUAACCUUAGAGAAAAACCAAAGAGCCAUACAGACCAACGAUGGGGAGCAGGGGGAAGGAACACACAGGCGGAUGCAGUUCAACAACUAAAAGAAAGUCAAAGAAUGAGUGGUCUGGAACCAAACCAACACUAUCUCUGAAGUAUGCCUGUGCCAGAAAGUACUCCUGAACCCCAAAUUAAGUCAGCUGAGAUGGAACUAUGACAUACAAAUACCUGGCACUACUACUUUCAUUUAAUGGAGCCGCCACUGGAUCCUGGAUCCUGUACUGCUAAUAAAGGUUUUGAGAGAAAGUUACAAAGGCAAAUGGACCCACUGAUAACCAAGUCUAUCAACCAUAAUCCUUAUUGGAAAAACAUACAUGACAUAAACCAUGGCAAGUAUUACCAUCUCUCCAUCUUCUAGAAAGACAAGUUGAAAAUAAUAAUUACCCUGUAUCGAUGGUCACCAACUGAAGACAAUAAAUGCAUUUCUUAUUUACUGGUAUUAGCUGUGUCUGUAAAUUUUGAUUUGUUGGUCACAUCACCUCUCCAGAUGUUUUACUUUGAUUUCAGAAUUGAUAGAAUUCAAAUUUUCCCUAUUCAAGAGAGAAGGUAUCUUUAUUUUAUAUAUUUUUCCUAGCC